This 492-nucleotide ribosomal RNA is filed under the name uncultured bacterium. Its description in RNAcentral is "partial 16S ribosomal RNA". It matches the Rfam family "Bacterial small subunit ribosomal RNA", at positions 29 to 507 of the family's 1533-position model. The record is from RNAcentral.
AGUGAACGCUGGCGGUAGGCCUAACGCAUGCAAGUCGAACGGCAGCACAGUAAGAGCUUGCUCUUACGGGUGGCGAGUGGCGGACGGGUGAGGAAUACAUCGGAAUCUACUUUUUCGUGGGGGAUAACGUAGGGAAACUUACGCUAAUACCGCAUACGACCUACGGGUGAAAGCAGGGGAUCUUCGGACCUUGCGCGAUUGAAUGAGCCGAUGUCGGAUUAGCUAGUUGGCGGGGUAAAGGCCCACCAAGGCGACGAUCCGUAGCUGGUCUGAGAGGAUGAUCAGCCACACUGGAACUGAGGCACGGUCCAGACUCCUACGGGAGGCAGCAGUGGGGAAUAUUGGACAAUGGGCGCAAGCCUGAUCCAGCCAUACCGCGUGGGUGAAGAAGGCCUUCGGGUUGUAAAGCCCUUUUGUUGGGAAAGAAAAGCAGCAGGUUAAUACCCCGCUGUUCUGACGGUACCCAAAGAAUAAGCACCGGCUAACUUCGUG